This 21-nucleotide microRNA is filed under the name Raphanus sativus (radish). RNAcentral's name for it is "rsa-miRn28". Lineage: Eukaryota; Viridiplantae; Streptophyta; Magnoliopsida; Brassicales; Brassicaceae. The record is from RNAcentral.
CCUUCUGGAUGUUGUAGUCGG